This is a long non-coding RNA of Panicum virgatum (switchgrass), 715 nucleotides long. RefSeq lists it as uncharacterized. The transcript has 4 exons. The record is from RefSeq and is a predicted model, not a curated record. Lineage: Eukaryota; Viridiplantae; Streptophyta; Magnoliopsida; Poales; Poaceae.
CGGUGCCGUCCGUCUGGUCUGUCUCUCUCUGUUUUCGCAUCUCAACCUCUCCUCUCACAGCCUUGAGCCACCCGUCUCCCUCCGCUUUCCCCUCUUCCUCUCAGCUCGAAGCUUGUCCGCUCUCCUCUCUAAUCUCAUAUGCUAAACUCGAUUCGUUUCAAAUCUCAUAUGCUAAACUCGAUUUGGGCAGGAACGACCUCAAGCUCAUAGCAAUUUCGAUUUGUGCUAUGAGAAUGUGUACUCUACCUUUCCUCUUCAGGUCCAUCGAACUGACAUCACACCAUGGUGGAUUCAAGAUAUUUGGCAGCAGCUCGUAGAUGCUGUUCAGCAUGAAGGCUAUACUGGAGUGAGAACCUUCGGGGUGCGAACCUUCGGGAUGAGAUGAGAUGAGGGAAUGUUUAUCUAGAGAAGUUUUCUGAGGAUGUGAUAGUACCAAGAGGUGGUAUCAAGAUUUGGGUACCUGUGGAGAAUCGGACUCCAUGUAGUUAGGCUCGUCAGCCAUUGGCGUGAUCACCUGAGAUGCCCCCAUGUGGUCGGCACUGAUCUCGUCAGGCAUGGAGAGAAUUGGCUGAGAUGUAAUUGUUGUGUAGAUUGAGAUACAAUUGGCUGAGAUGCAAUUGUUAUGUAGAUUGAGACAAACGAGAAGAAUACUAAUCUAGUUACCCUUCCGUAUUAGAUGCUAAUCUGAUGGAACCACCUAUCGAAAUUGGCGCCA